UAAAAUUUGACCUAGUUUCAACUUGCUAGAACCAAGUUGUUUUCUUCCGCCGUUUGUUUUCCGUUGCUUUGUUCGGUUCUUUCUUUCUUUGCAACCGGAGUUCUUAAGUUGAACUAUCUGGUUCGAUCUCUUGUUUGAGUUUUACCUAUGCAUUAGAUGAGUACUUAUUGUAUGCUUGUUGUUUGUCUGUGAUAGAUUACCCGGAUUGCGCCGCUUGUUACUUCGAAUCUCUAGGACUCGCGGAUCAUCAGCAAGGCAAGUAACACUUUGAUCAUACCUUUUCUACAACCCAGUUUUAUUGCAUUAGAUCCAUCCUCACACAUUGCAUGAUUAGGAUCUAAUUAAAUUGUGGGAUGGGAAGUAGAUGAGGUAGUACCUAUUACCUGUUUAUUAUGAAACCUUUGGGAGUUACUUCUACGUUUGCUUAUUUUGCCAUGCUAUGCUAGUAGACGUGGAUUGGGUGAGUGAUAUCCAUGACAGAUGUGAGAUUGAUAAUUUUAAUGGUUUAUCUAAGGUUGCAACUUAAACACACAUCUGGGUGGAUUGAGGCACCUGGUUUUUAUCAGGACUUGCAUGUUUUCUUUUGGACCGCCACCCAGGCUCAAAGGGAUCAUAAGAUCUUUCAUACUAGAAACUUCCGUGUGCAGCCACAAGCCAAUAUGGGCUCUGGCAUAGUUGACUAAGUCGUGCGAACUCUUGCAGUGUAGACUAGCAGAUGUAGGGGAAAGUAGGUGUACCGGUCUAUCCAUCGUAAGGUGCUAGCGCUUCUGAAAGACUGUGUCUCGGUCAUCCGUUUCUCAAACACCAGUAGUGCGAGAAAUCCAACGGAGGCGAUCGAGUCUUGUGGGGAAAAGUGCGCAAACCUCUGCAGAGUGUAAUAAACUAAUCAUGAUUAGCCGUGUCCCCGGUUAUGGACAUCUUGAGUAUCUAGUACUUGAAUAUCAUGUGAAUCUCAUCAUGUUACUUCUAAUUAAUAUUGUUGGGUUUUAAUUGUUCACUUAAUUGGGAUCGGAAUGCUGUCAACCAUUCUCGAUGUUCAACUACCAUGAUAGUUAAAUAAAUUUAUUCCUUUGCAGUAGGGAAAAACUGGCUUUACGCAAAACAGUAACCAUAGAGCUUUCCACCAGCCAAAUAUGCAUAUAGUAUAGCUGUUUCAUUCCAUUACUCUCUAUGUGUUACAUUGCCAGCAUAUUCCAUGUGCUGACCCAUUUUCGGGCUGCAACGUUAAUGUUGCAGACUUUUCAGACGACGAGUAAGGUGCUUUUAGGUCAUGGUUCUAUACUCAGUGAUGCCGUUGGAGUUGAUGGACCCACUUAUCUUCCAAGUCUUCCGAUGUUAUCAACAUUAGAUGGCCUUAAGCCAUAUUUAUUGUAAUAAGUUCUCUUUUGAGACAUCGAUGUAAUAAGUGUGUGAUUUCUACUCUGCUAUAAAUCCUUCGAAGUACUGUGUGGUGUCAGCAUUACUGAUCCAGGGAUGACACCGGAGCACAGAGACUUGAUCCAUUCGGGUCGGGUCGCUACAGAGAUGGUAUCAGAGCACACGCUGACUAUAGGACACGACCACUAAGUUAAAGCCAUAGAUCACUAUUCUCUCCUCAUUUUCUAACUCCUCAUCUUUUCUACUCUUUAGGAUGAAGGACGCGAAGAUCAAGUACACUCAACCGGAUGAAGGAACACCAUUUGGAUUUCACUUGAAGGAAGUCACCAAGUACCUAAACAUUGGAUUGCCAAGUUUCACGGGAACCUUCAACGCCACUCUGCCUGAAGAGGAGCGCUGGAAGAUUCAAGCUCACGUUCCGGAAAGGACAUUCGCGCCAAUCACGAAACCCAUAGAUAGUGUUUUCAAUGCACCAACCUGGAGUCUGGGAAAAAGCAUGGCAGCCCAUAUCACCAUAGGACGCAUUGGAGAAGUUUAUCAAGAAGACCUCAAGGACACUAUCUACCAGAUUUGCGGACGCCGAGAUGAACAAUGGGAAUUAGUCAGCACCAAGAAGGAUAGAUCCAUUGCAGCUUUCAUCCAGGAGUUAAACCAACACAUUCGACGCCACGAGAACCAGAUGUGCAAUGACAUGAUAGAGUUGAAGAAUGCGAAGGCAAGGAUCAUCGAGCUAGAAGGAGAACUGAAGGCUACACGAAAGGACUACAUGGACGAGAUCGUAGCUCUAGCAAGACACAACGGUGAUCUUAAGCAAGAGAUUGAAGAACUCAAGAGGGAGUUAGCGUCCAGGAAGGAAGACAUGUACGUCGCAUGUCCGGACAACUACAUCAUCCUCGACGACACCGAUUCGGAUCCAAGUGAACCCGACUUUGAGGACAAAGCUGGAGCGGACAUCAUGGAGUCUUCCACCGGUUCAAAUUUCUAGAUGACCACCAAAUAUUAGUAGUAUUUCCCCCCAUGUAUACACUAUAGUUCGAGCACUUUUUGCGAUAGCUAGAUCGAUUGUAAGCCCUUGUUUGAAUUGAAUGAAGUGAUUUGUGUGCAUUUGCUCAUGUGCAUUGGGGUAGUGUUUUCUCUUUAGACCUCACUCUAUUCUUAUUUCUCAUCUUUUCUAAACACUCAGAUGCCUCCGAGACGUGACAAUGGAUUUCCACCGGAGCUCACUCAGUUAAUUCAGCAACAGAAUCAAUUGAUGCAGAUGUUAGUUCAGAAUCAGCAGAACAACAACAACAACAACCCACCUCCACCACCGCCACCUGUUGACCACUUAGCCCGUUUCCUUAGGCUAAAUCCACCGGUGUUUUCUAGUAGCACCAAGCCGAUAGUAGCAGACGAUUGGCUCCGCAAGAUAGGAAGGGAGUUGACCACUGCAGGAUGCACAGAUGGUGAGAAGGUGAAGUUUGCCGCACAUCAGCUUGACGGACCCGCGGCAGCAUGGUGGGAGAAUUUCAUAGCCACUUUCCCAGUUGACACUCUCACAUGGGAUCAGUUUCAGCAAGCUUUCUGCACUGCACAUGUUUCAGCAGGAGCUAUGGCCAUGAAGAAGCGUGAGUUUCGCAACUUACGCCAAGGAGGAAGGACAGUUGGACAGUACGUUGAUGAUUUCAGCAAGUUAGCACGUUAUGCCCCAGAUGACGUUGCUAUGGAUGCAACUAAGCAGGAGAAGUUUCUGGAAGGAUUGAAUGAUGAGUUAAGCAUGCAGUUGAUGGUAGCAAGUUUCAACAACUACCAGGAGUUGGUAGAUCGUGCCAUCAUGAUUGAAGGGAAGCAACAGCAGAUUGAGAACCGCAAGAGGAAGUAUGGACAGGGGAAGUAUAAUUCUGGAGCCGCCCAGCAGAAGCCCCGUUUUACCCCUAAAUCGGGAUUUCAGUUUCAGCAUACCCAUGGAGGAGGUAGUUCGCACAACCACAAUGGCCACAAGAAUGGUAAUGGGAAUGGAGGAAGCAACGGCCAGAACCGUACCACCCCAUCAACCCCAGCCAAGAGAGAUCUGAGUCAAGUCACCUGUUUCAAGUGUUCCAAGACCGGACAUUAUGCCAAUGAAUGUCCUGAAGGCCAGAAUGGAAAUAGCAAUGGAAGCUCAGGGAAGAAGCCGAACCCUUUCAAUAGGGGACAGGUGAACCACGUUAACGUGGAGGAGGUUGAAGAUCAGCCUGAUGCAGUAAUCGGUAAGUUUUUGGUUAAGUCAUUUACCGCACUCGUUCUUUUCGAUACUGGUGCAUCACAUUCAUACAUAUCAAGGGGAUUUGUGGAAAAAUAUAGCCUGCCCACUAGGACUCUUAAAACCCCUAUGCUAAUAAGCUCGCCAGGAGCAGAAUACAUGGCCAGCCAAGGAUGUUUUCAAGUGCCAUUAAGCAUAGGAAGGCAUGUUUUCCCAACAGAUUUAAUUAUCCUGGAAUCCUAGGGUCUAGAUGUAAUUCUCGGUAUGGAUUGGCUGUCGAUGUAUGGAGGAAACAUCGAUUGUGCCAGUAAGACAAUUUUUCUUACAACGCCAGAAGGAAGAAGGAUCAAGUAUGUAUCCCGGCAUGUGCCAAAUAGGACACAAGUAAAUUGCCUAACAUGAGUUGUGCAGGAGGAAGUACCUGUGGUGAAGGAUUACCCUGAUGUAUUUCCGGAAGAGUUGCCAGGCAUGCCAUCGGAUAGAGACGUUGAGUUUUUGAUUGAAUUGUUGCCAGGUACAGUCCCAAUAUCAAAGAGACCAUACCGGAUGCCAGCAAAGGAUUUGGUAGAAAUUAAGAAUCAGAUUAAGGAGUUACUGGAGAAAGGUUACAUACGCCCAAGUUCUUCGCCUUGGGGAUCACCCGUACUUCUAGUGGAGAAGAAGGAUGGAUCAUUAUGGAUGGUUGUUGAUUACCGUGGAUUGAACGAAGUAACCAUCAAGAACAAGUACCCACUGCCAAUGAUUAAUGAUCUGUUUGAUCGUUUGCAAGGAGCUAAAGUGUUUUCCAAGAUCGAUUUGCGAUCAGGGUACCACCAGUUGAAGAUUCGAGAGCAGGAUAUACCUAAGACAGCAUUCACCACAAGAUAUGGACUGUGUGAGUAUACCGUUAAGUCAUUUGGAUUGACUAACGCGCCUACCUAUUUUAUGAACCUGAUGAACAAGGUGUUUAUGGAGUUUUUGGAUAAGUUCGUCGUAGUGUUGAUUGAUGAUAUCCUGGUUUAUUCAAAGAAUGAAGAAGAGCAUAAGGAACAUUUGCGUUUGGUUUUGGAGAAACUAAGGGAACAUCAGUUAUAUGCCAAAUUUAGCAAAUGUGAGUUUUGGUUGAAGGAAGUAGGAUUCCUCGGACACGUUAUAUCUGGAGAAGGGAUAGCAGUUGACCCCACAAAGGUUGAGACCGUAACCGAAUGGGAAGCACCAACGACAGUUGGAGAGAUCCGGAGUUUUCUUGGACUCGCAGGAUACUACCGGAGAUUCAUUGAGAACUUUUCAAAGAUUGCAAAGCCUAUGACGGAGUUGUUGAAGAAGGAUACUAAGUUCAAAUGGACUGAGGAGUGUGAGGCUAGUUUUCAGGAGUUGAAGAAACAAUUGGUUACCUCACCAGUGUUGAUUUUGCCAGAUCAGACCAAGGAUUAUGAGGUGUAUUGCGACGCUUCACGUCGAGGACUUGGAGCAGUGCUUAUGCAGGAAGGGAGAGUUGUUUCGUAUGCUUCACGACAACUGAAGCCUCAUGAGUUGAAUUACGCCACGCAUGAUUUGGAGUUAGCAGCCGUAGUGCAUGCAUUGAAGACAUGGAGACAAUUCCUCAUUGGAAAUCAUUGUGAGGUGUACACGGAUCACAAGAGUUUGAAGUACAUUUUCACGCAGAAGGAGUUGAAUCUCAGACAAAGGAGAUGGUUGGAGCUCGUCCAGGAUUAUGAUAUGAGAUUGCAUUACCAUCCCGGAAAAGCUAAUGUAGUAGCUGACGCAUUGAGCCGUAAGAGCCAUGUCAAUACGUUAAUAACGGGAGAAAUACCCAAGGAGUUAGCAGAAAACCUUCGUGAACUAAGUUUAGAGAUAGUUCCGAAAGGCUAUGUAGCAGCAUUGGAGAUUCAGUCAACAUUGAUGGAUAAAAUCAGAGAGACUCAAAAAUCUGACAAGGAAAUUGCUUCUAUAAAGGAGAAACUAAGCAAAGGAAAAGCAAAGGGAUUUCGUGAGGAUGAGCACGAUACCCUAUGGUUUGAGGACCGUGUUUAUGUGCCCAAUGACCCGGAGAUCAGGAAGUUGAUUCUACAAGAGGCACAUGAUUCACCAUAUUCGAUUCACCCAGGAAAUACCAAGAUGUAUUUGGAUUUGAAGGAGACAUUCUGGUGGACCGGAAUGAAGAAGGAUAUUGCAGCAUAUGUAGCAGUUUGUGAUGUGUGUCAUAGAGUGAAGGCAGAACAUCAGAAGCCAGCCGGAUUGUUACAACCAUUGCCGAUACCCGAAUGGAAGUGUGAUAAGAUAGGCAUGGAUUUUAUCACAGGACUACCCAGGACGAAAGCACGAUAUGACUCGAUAUGGGUAGUAGUUGAAUCGUUUGACGAAGGUAGCACAUUUCAUUCUAGUUAAGACCACUUACACCAGUGCUAAAUUGGCAAAGAUAUACAUGACUAGGAUCAUUUGUUUGCAUGGAGUUCCGAGGAGUAUUGUAUCAGACAGAGGAACCCAAUUUACCUCAAAGUUUUGGAAUCAGUUGCAUGAAACUUUGGGAACCAGGUUAGAGUUCAGCACCGCUUUUCAUCCGCAGACAGAUGGACACACCGAGAGAGUCAAUCAGAUUUUGGAAGAUAUGCUGAGAGCUUGUGCACUAGAUUAUGGAUAUAGUUGGGAUGAUAACUUGCCGUAUGCGGAAUUUUCUUAUAACAACAGUUAUCAAACCAGUUUGAAGAUGGCACCUUUCGAAGCUUUAUAUGGAAGGAGGUGCAGGACACCGUUGUCAUGGGACGAAGUUGGAGACCGUCAGUUCUUUGGAACAGAUUUGAUUAAGGAGUCUGAACGGAAAGUUAAGUUGAUACGCGAUAGGCUCAAGGUAGCCUAGUCCAGGCAGAAGAGCUACGCAGAUUCUAAACGCAAGGAGACAGUUUACGAAACCGGAGACAGGGUGUAUCUCCGAGUAUCCCCACUUCGAGGAGUUAAGCGCUUUGGAGUUAAGGGAAAAUUAGCACCGCGUUUCGUUGGACCAUAUAAGAUCUUGCAACGUAUGGGAGAAGUCGCUUAUAAGUUAGAAUUACCAGAGGGAUUGUCAGGAGUUCAUGACGUAUUCCAUGUUUCUCAGCUGAAGAAGUGUCACGCCGAGAUGGCGGAGGUACCGUUAAGAGAUACAGUGCCGCUUGAAGCAAUUCACCUGAAGGACGACUUAACGUAUGAGGAGAAGCCAGUCAAGAUUCUCGAGUAUGCCAGCAGAGUUAACCGCAGCAAGGUUAUCAAGUUUUGCAAAGUUCAGUGGAAGCACCACUCAGAGGAUGAAGCCACCUGGGAGAGAGAAGAAGAUUUGCUCAAGGACCACCCUCACCCUCAAUUUGGAAUGUUAUACAUUAGAUCAUCAUGCAUAUCAUAUUUUCUUGCAUUUUGGGUCGAUCCUAGAAAUUUCACGCAACUCAAGGACCCUCGGAGAGAGUUGGAGAUUUUGUUAUUUUCAUGUUUGAGUCUUCUCAAAAAAUUUUUAAAAAAGGGGGAUCAUUGGAUUUGUCGGAGUUUAUUUUACUUUUAUUUGGAUAGGGAAAAAUGCGUGUUUUCAAAAUUUGCAUCCUAGGUCCCGAGAAAAGUUCAUUUUGUUCGACUCAUUUUUAGGAGUCGGGGAAAAUUUACUUUGGGAAUUUUGGAGUCCGUUUAGAUGUUCUUUUAUUUGUUUUUUUCUGCGCGCGUAACCAUUUAAAAAAAAUCCGCAGCGCCGCUUGGGCCAAGGCCCAGCAGCCGGCCGGCCAGGCCUCCCGACCGCCGCCGCCAAGUAGGAGUCCUACUCGGACUCCAUCUCUCCUUCCCCUCUUAAAUACCCCCACACCCCCCCUUUUUCCCCACACCAAGCCGCGGCCCUCACCCCGCGCCGCCCAACGCCGCCGCCGCCUACGCCGCCGUCGCCCUAGCGCCGCCGCCGCCCUUGCACGCCGCUAUCACCGCCGUUCGCCGGAGCCCCUCGCUGGAGCCUCGACGAGGUAGCCGCGCCGCGCCUCUCUCUUUUUCCCCUCGGUUCGGUUUUUCUUAUAAACCGUUUCGGUUUUCUUUUGAUUUUUUGUGUCGGUUUUCUUUUCCGAAACCCUAGAUCGGUUUUCGUUUUGCUUUCCGGUUUAGUUGCCUAGAGACCGUUCGCCGGACCGUUCGUCCUAAUGAACGUGAUCACGUGUUAUUCCCGGUUAACGAAUGUCCGUUCGUUUAGCCGUUCUUCUUUUUCUUUUCGUCGGAUUUAUUCCGCAACCGCGAUCUCAGAACCGAUCUUCGUUCUAGUCUAUCUUCUCGCUCGUUUAUCAGAAUCAGGUGAUUCAAGCGCCUGGUGUUUCGUUUCGAAACCGCCGUUCCGACUAAUCAACUUAAACAAGUUUUUGCUACUGUAAAAUUUGACCUAGUUUCAACUUGCUAGAACCGAGUUGUUUUCUUCCGCCGUUUGUUUUCCGUUGCUUUGUUCGGUUCUUUCUCUCUUUGCAACCGGAGUUCUUAAGUUGAACUAUCUGGUUCGAUCUCUUGUUUGAGUUUUACCUGUGCAUUAGAUGAGUACUUAUUGUAUGCUUGUUGUUUGUCUGCGAUAGAUUACCCGGAUUGCGUCGCCUGUUACUUCGAAUCUCUAGGACUCGCGGAUCAUCAGCAAGGCAAGUAACACUUUGAUCAUACCUUUUCUACAACCCAGUUUUAUUGCAUUAUAUCCAUCCUCACACAUUGCAUGAUUAGGAUCUAAUUAAAUUGUGGGAUGGGAAGUAGAUGAGGUAGUACCUAUUACCUGUUUAUUAUGAAACCUUUGGGAGUUACUUCUAUGUUUGCUUAUUAUGCCAUGCUAUGCUAGUAGACGUGGAUUGGGUGAGUGAUAUCCAUGACAGAUGUGAGAUUGAUAAUUUUAAUGGUUUAUCUAAGGUGGC
This 8460-nucleotide long non-coding RNA is filed under the name Triticum aestivum (bread wheat). Its description in RNAcentral is "long non-coding RNA (TAES_LNC009681)". The record is from RNAcentral. Lineage: Eukaryota; Viridiplantae; Streptophyta; Magnoliopsida; Poales; Poaceae.